Molecule: unclassified non-coding RNA, 228 nt
Filed under: Hevea brasiliensis (rubber tree)
Lineage: Eukaryota; Viridiplantae; Streptophyta; Magnoliopsida; Malpighiales; Euphorbiaceae
Source: RNAcentral
GUCAUUAUGACGCUGAUAUGAUGCCAUAAAUAAGGCCAACAAAUCUUGCAAUAAUAGAACCUAACAAGAUGCCACAAAUUAUGCUAACAAGCACCAUCAUCACUUCAUUUCAGAUAUUAAUGUAAAAGCAUGUAAUAUACAAAUAGAAGCUUUCAUAUAAAUACCAAUAAAUUUUUAGUGUCAUAGCCCUCAAAACAUUUCAAGAAUUCUUCCUCUGUCAGCCAUGAA